RNAcentral lists this unclassified non-coding RNA (310 nucleotides) under plant metagenome. Its description in RNAcentral is "partial contains 5.8S ribosomal RNA, internal transcribed spacer 2, and large subunit ribosomal RNA". The stretch from base 1 to 105 matches the Rfam family "5.8S ribosomal RNA", at positions 50 to 154 of the family's 154-position model. The record is from RNAcentral.
GAAAUGCGAUAAGUAGUGUGAAUUGCAGAAUUCAGUGAAUCAUCGAAUCUUUGAACGCACAUUGCGCCCCUUGGUAUUCCAUGGGGCAUGCCUGUUCGAGCGUCAUUUGUACCCUCAAGCUCUGCUUGGUGUUGGGUGUUUGUCCCCGUCUCCGCGCGUGGACUCGCCCCAAAGUGAUUGGCAGCCGGCGUACUGGUCCCGGAGCGCAGCACAUGUCGCGCAAACGAGUGCCUUGGUACGGCGGCGUCCAUAAGCCCCUCUCUCACGCUCUUGACCUCGGAUCAGGUAGGGAUACCCGCUGAGCUUAAGC